This 585-nucleotide ribosomal RNA is filed under the name Ulva tanneri. RNAcentral's name for it is "eukaryotic LSU rRNA". The stretch from base 242 to 396 matches the Rfam family "5.8S ribosomal RNA". The record is from RNAcentral. Lineage: Eukaryota; Viridiplantae; Chlorophyta; Ulvophyceae; Ulvales; Ulvaceae.
UAGGUGAACGUGAGGAGGGAUCAUUGAAAACGAUCAAACCAAUCACAGAGCAUUGCGGGGCUAACCUCCUCCCGUCCGCGGGGGUGGGGUGGGGCGGCCCGCCGUUUAUUGGGACCGCCGGUGCAGGAGCCUUCCCCCCUCGCGGGGGGCUGGCCCCGGCCGAUCCGGACCCCUUAACCCAUUGAACCCUCUGCCCUGAAGCAGCUUUGUAUGGGGACACCCCUGCGAUAGUAACUGAGACAACUCUCAACAACGGAUAUCUUGGCUCUCGCAACGAUGAAGAACGCAGCGAAAUGCGAUACGUAGUGUGAAUUGCAGAAUUCCGUGAGUCAUCGAAUCUUUGAACGCACAUUGCCGGUCGACUCUUCGGAGGAGACCACAUCUGCCUCAGCGUCGGAAUACCCCCUCACGCACUCCCGCGUGGACCUGGCCCCCUCGGACCACACCGGUCCGGGCUGGCUGAAAUACAGAGGCUCGUGCGCGGCCCAUUCGUGGCCCCGACUAGGUAGGUAGCUCGCUACUUCUAGGCGGAGGCUCGGCGUCGCGUGCUCUGGGCCCGAAAGGAUACCCAUCCAUUCAUUCGAC